Etheostoma spectabile (orangethroat darter) is the source of this 126-nucleotide long non-coding RNA. RefSeq lists it as uncharacterized. NCBI's taxonomy places the organism in Eukaryota, Metazoa, Chordata, Actinopteri, Perciformes, Percidae. The transcript has 3 exons. The record is from RefSeq and is a predicted model, not a curated record.
GAUUGGUUAAAGUCGUGCCCAAUGGUCCCAGAUUUCUAGGACAUUUUCAAAAUUAGGUCUUGUGUUCCUACAUUUCCCUUGCAUUUAAGCCCUAUCCUCCAACAAGAUUUUUUGGGGCUAGGGUUA